RNAcentral lists this ribosomal RNA (2930 nucleotides) under Bacillus paranthracis. Its description in RNAcentral is "23S ribosomal RNA". It matches the Rfam family "Bacterial large subunit ribosomal RNA". The record is from RNAcentral. Lineage: Bacteria; Bacillati; Bacillota; Bacilli; Caryophanales; Bacillaceae.
UUUGGUUAAGUUAGAAAGGGCGCACGGUGGAUGCCUUGACACUAGGAGUCGAUGAAGGACGGGACUAACGCCGAUAUGCUUCGGGGAGCUGUAAGUAAGCUUUGAUCCGAAGAUUUCCGAAUGGGGAAACCCACCAUACGUAAUGGUAUGGUAUCCUUAUCUGAAUACAUAGGGUAAGGAAGACAGACCCAGGGAACUGAAACAUCUAAGUACCUGGAGGAAGAGAAAGCAAAUGCGAUUUCCUGAGUAGCGGCGAGCGAAACGGAACAUAGCCCAAACCAAGAGGCUUGUCUCUUGGGGUUGUAGGACAUUCUAUACGGAGUUACAAAGGAACGAGGUAGACGAAGCGACCUGGAAAGGUCCGUCGUAGAGGGUAACAACCCCGUAGUCGAAACUUCGUUCUCUCUUGAAUGUAUCCUGAGUACGGCGGAACACGUGAAAUUCCGUCGGAAUCUGGGAGGACCAUCUCCCAAGGCUAAAUACUCCCUAGUGAUCGAUAGUGAACCAGUACCGUGAGGGAAAGGUGAAAAGCACCCCGGAAGGGGAGUGAAAGAGAUCCUGAAACCGUGUGCCUACAAAUAGUCAGAGCCCGUUAACGGGUGAUGGCGUGCCUUUUGUAGAAUGAACCGGCGAGUUACGAUCCCGUGCGAGGUUAAGCUGAAGAGGCGGAGCCGCAGCGAAAGCGAGUCUGAAUAGGGCGUUUAGUACGUGGUCGUAGACCCGAAACCAGGUGAUCUACCCAUGUCCAGGGUGAAGUUCAGGUAACACUGAAUGGAGGCCCGAACCCACGCACGUUGAAAAGUGCGGGGAUGAGGUGUGGGUAGCGGAGAAAUUCCAAUCGAACCUGGAGAUAGCUGGUUCUCCCCGAAAUAGCUUUAGGGCUAGCCUUAAGUGUAAGAGUCUUGGAGGUAGAGCACUGAUUGGACUAGGGGUCCUCAUCGGAUUACCGAAUUCAGUCAAACUCCGAAUGCCAAUGACUUAUCCUUAGGAGUCAGACUGCGAGUGAUAAGAUCCGUAGUCAAAAGGGAAACAGCCCAGACCGCCAGCUAAGGUCCCAAAGUGUGUAUUAAGUGGAAAAGGAUGUGGAGUUGCUUAGACAACUAGGAUGUUGGCUUAGAAGCAGCCACCAUUUAAAGAGUGCGUAAUAGCUCACUAGUCGAGUGACUCUGCGCCGAAAAUGUACCGGGGCUAAAUACACCACCGAAGCUGCGGAUUGAUACCGAAUGGUAUCAGUGGUAGGGGAGCGUUCUAAGGACAGUGAAGUCAGACCGGAAGGACUGGUGGAGUGCUUAGAAGUGAGAAUGCCGGUAUGAGUAGCGAAAGACGGGUGAGAAUCCCGUCCACCGAAUGCCUAAGGUUUCCUGAGGAAGGCUCGUCCGCUCAGGGUUAGUCAGGACCUAAGCCGAGGCCGACAGGCGUAGGCGAUGGACAACAGGUUGAUAUUCCUGUACCACCUCUUUAUCGUUUGAGCAAUGGAGGGACGCAGAAGGAUAGAAGAAGCGUGCGAUUGGUUGUGCACGUCCAAGCAGUUAGGCUGAUAAGUAGGCAAAUCCGCUUAUCGUAAAGGCUGAGCUGUGAUGGGGAAGCUCCUUAUGGAGCGAAGUCUUUGAUUCCCCGCUGCCAAGAAAAGCUUCUAGCGAGAUAAAAGGUGCCUGUACCGCAAACCGACACAGGUAGGCGAGGAGAGAAUCCUAAGGUGUGCGAGAGAACUCUGGUUAAGGAACUCGGCAAAAUGACCCCGUAACUUCGGGAGAAGGGGUGCUUUCUUAACGGAAAGCCGCAGUGAAUAGGCCCAAGCGACUGUUUAGCAAAAACACAGCUCUCUGCGAAGCCGUAAGGCGAAGUAUAGGGGGUGACACCUGCCCGGUGCUGGAAGGUUAAGGAGAGGGGUUAGCGUAAGCGAAGCUCUGAACUGAAGCCCCAGUAAACGGCGGCCGUAACUAUAACGGUCCUAAGGUAGCGAAAUUCCUUGUCGGGUAAGUUCCGACCCGCACGAAAGGUGUAACGAUUUGGGCACUGUCUCAACCAGAGACUCGGUGAAAUUAUAGUACCUGUGAAGAUGCAGGUUACCCGCGACAGGACGGAAAGACCCCGUGGAGCUUUACUGUAGCCUGAUAUUGAAUUUUGGUACAGUUUGUACAGGAUAGGCGGGAGCCUUUGAAACCGGAGCGCUAGCUUCGGUGGAGGCGCUGGUGGGAUACCGCCCUGACUGUAUUGAAAUUCUAACCUACGGGUCUUAUCGACCCGGGAGACAGUGUCAGGUGGGCAGUUUGACUGGGGCGGUCGCCUCCUAAAGUGUAACGGAGGCGCCCAAAGGUUCCCUCAGAAUGGUUGGAAAUCAUUCGUAGAGUGCAAAGGCAUAAGGGAGCUUGACUGCGAGACCUACAAGUCGAGCAGGGACGAAAGUCGGGCUUAGUGAUCCGGUGGUUCCGCAUGGAAGGGCCAUCGCUCAACGGAUAAAAGCUACCCCGGGGAUAACAGGCUUAUCUCCCCCAAGAGUCCACAUCGACGGGGAGGUUUGGCACCUCGAUGUCGGCUCAUCGCAUCCUGGGGCUGUAGUCGGUCCCAAGGGUUGGGCUGUUCGCCCAUUAAAGCGGUACGCGAGCUGGGUUCAGAACGUCGUGAGACAGUUCGGUCCCUAUCCGUCGUGGGCGUAGGAAAUUUGAGAGGAGCUGUCCUUAGUACGAGAGGACCGGGAUGGACGCACCGCUGGUGUACCAGUUGUUCUGCCAAGGGCAUAGCUGGGUAGCUAUGUGCGGAAGGGAUAAGUGCUGAAAGCAUCUAAGCAUGAAGCCCCCCUCAAGAUGAGAUUUCCCAUAGCGUAAGCUAGUAAGAUCCCUGAAAGAUGAUCAGGUUGAUAGGUUCGAGGUGGAAGCAUGGUGACAUGUGGAGCUGACGAAUACUAAUAGAUCGAGGACUUAACCAUAUAA